UGAUCUUGAAUUUUUAUUCGCUUAGUAAAGGUACACAUGUACACUUAAUUGGUGAUAUAAAUGAUCAUUCAACUCUUUUUAUUGCAUUGAUAGGCCAUCGCAAUCCAAAUCACCCACUAAACACUCCAAUGUGAGAAAAAGCUUGUGAAGUAUUUUUCUAUUUAUGUGAUUCUAAAAUUCAUAAUAUAUACCUCAAAUAUGCGAGAAUAUGAGAUUUUAUUAUUAUUAUUAUUAUUAUUAGGAGGGCAAAGCUAUCUAUUAUUAUUAGGAGCAGAGGUGUACAAAAAUCGAACCUAUAAAAAUGUUGUUGGAUUAUUAUUGUUGGGUUGUUGGUUUAACGAAAUUUUAAUGGUCUUAUUAAAAAAAAUUGGUUAUUGGUUCGAUUUUGAUUUUUUUUCACUUUGGGUUAUUGGAUAAACUAAUAACUCAAUAAGAAUAUAAUAAAUUACCAAUUUUAUUUAUUAGUUAUUCGUGUCUUCGCUCAAUUUCUAUAAACCUAUUCAAUUUCUUGAAAAUCCAUAGCCUGAUAAAGUUAAAUCGAUUCAAUUUUCUUUUUGAUAAAUCAACGGCGAGGGUUUGCAAUGACGACGACAUGUAUCAUGUUAGUUGCUAUUGCUUCUAUUUUUUGAGCAUUUUAUUGAUGUUAUGUUAGUUGUUAUUGUUACACGAUAUUUAAAAUUACUACGUCAAAUUGAUAUUUGUUUUUUGAACAUUUUCUUGUCAAUUAAUUUGAAAAUUGCUAAAAAAAUAUCUUAAUUAGCUUGACUAUUGAUUUGACAUAUUUAAAAACAAAAAUAAAAAAAAAUCAAACCGGUAGUGCAUAAACCGAACCAAAUUGAAGCGACUCGUGCACACCUCUAAUUAGGAGGACAAAUCUAUCAAAAAUGAAGACAUGAAAUUGUAUGGAGUCUCCCUAAUAUCCUUUGGGAAAGUCAAAACAAUUUUUGAUCUAAUCGACUUAUUCUUUAAUUGAAUGUUUGUAAAUUUCAUACUUGUAACUACUUACGGUUAAAAAAAGUAGUUUAGAGUACUAGAAAUUUCGCUAUAUGCAGGAUGCGAAAAAAGACUCUCAUCACAAAAGUGUAUUCUGUGCAAUUUUAACUUGCAUGUACCAACAUGGGUCGUGGUGCAGCGGAUGGGGCUGUUUCACCCUUAAUCAGAGGUUGAGGGUUCGACCCUGGGCAUGAAGAAAACUCUGUUGGGAGCGCUACUCCCCAAAUGGGGCCCUACCCGGCGCGAAUCCGGAUUAGCCGAGCUCCAAUACGAGUACCGAACACCGGAUGAAAAAAAAAAAUAACUUGCAUUUUUAUUUUCAAAUUACUUAUAUUACUUACUUAUAAGAGGUAGUCUCACUGCUAAAGUAGGCGGUAGCUCGCCAUGUUUGUCUAUCGGAAACAACCUUCCUACUUCUCCGGAGGUAGUGGUAUGGACUGCGUACAUCUUAC
This 1445-nucleotide long non-coding RNA is filed under the name Capsicum annuum. RNAcentral describes it as "long non-coding RNA (CANN_LNC013090)". The record is from RNAcentral. Lineage: Eukaryota; Viridiplantae; Streptophyta; Magnoliopsida; Solanales; Solanaceae.